Macadamia integrifolia is the source of this 3550-nucleotide long non-coding RNA. RefSeq lists it as uncharacterized. Lineage: Eukaryota; Viridiplantae; Streptophyta; Magnoliopsida; Proteales; Proteaceae. The record is from RefSeq and is a predicted model, not a curated record. The transcript is spliced from 2 exons.
UCUCUCUCUCUCUCUCUCUCUAAAAUAUCCAAAGUCUGCUUAAGUACCUCUCCAUCGCCAUUGGUCUCUCUCUUGUUUCCAGUAAUUUCUGACCUUUGCAGGACUUUGGAUUUCCAGAGACUUAUAAAUAAGGUCUUACGUUCCUCAUACCUAUUACAGAAUUCUUAGCUCUCUCUCUCUCUCUCUCUCUCAGGUUUGAUGAAAGAACACCUUAGUUCCAUAGUACACAAUUUUUUUUUUCCUGUUUUAUUUUUUACUGCAGGUAUUUAGCAACUUCCACUCUUAUUCCUUUUUCUAGUUGCAGAAUUUUGCCUUGGAAAGUGUUUAUGAUCCAUAUUUAUUGAUGUUAUUACUAGUUUUGGAAAGUGCAAAUCUGUCUCUGAUCCUAAGCUUGGAGGAGCUCAGAUAUCCCAUGGAGGAGAUUUUCAUGGGGGAGCUGUAUCCUACAAGCAUGCUUUGAUUGGCCUGGACUUCAUCAAAAACACGAUCAGAAUAUCAAGAAUAGAUAGCCACACAUGCAUGCAUAUAUAUAUAUAUAUAUAUAUAUUACUUUGUUGUCAUCAUCAUGCAUGAAUUGAUUUGCAGGGAGGAUGAAAGAAGAUGAAUGAAGAAGGAAGGAAGGAAGGUGGAGAGACGAUGGAGAAUGGAAUAUAAAAUGUUGACAGAAGAGAGAGAGCACAACCCACAUGGGCCAAAGAGAAGUCUUGGCUAUUGCUGGGAGUGUGCUCUCUCUUCCUCUGUCAUCGUCCUCUCUCUCUCUCUCUCUCUUGAUUAGUUUUUCCAAAUUCUUAAUUGGUUAUUAUUCUUCCCUUUUGGUUGUUGUUUUGGUCUGGAAAGGCCGGUAACUGCUAUUUUCACCAGAUGAGGAUAAAUAACGCCCACCAAUCUGGCAAGGAUACGUGGCCUGAUGCGUAGUGAGUGACCAAUAGAGAGGGAGCCGAUCCUCUCAAGAUUGACCUAUGACCUCUGGGAAUUGCUUACAUUUGCAGAUUAGACUUCAAUAGAGGCCGAGCUGAACCUCCUAAGAGCGAGAUGUCACCUCAGGGAAUUGCCUGCAUCUGCAAAUCAGACUUCAAUAGAGGCCUGUGACCUCGGGGAGUUACUUACAUCUGCAAAUCAAACUUCAGUAGAGGCCGAGCCAACCCCCUCUAGGAUUGACCUGUGACCUUGGGGAAUUGCUUACGUCUGCAAAUCAGACUCCAAUAGAGGCCGAGCCACCCUCUCUAGGAUUGACCUAUGACCUCGAAGAAUUGCCUGCAUCUACAUAUCAGACUUCAAUAGAGGCUGAGCCAAUCCUCUCUAGGACCGACCUAUCGGCUCAGUGUUGACAUCAUCUUGCGGACCCGAACUCAACUCGCUUGCCACAACUCCAGAUUACCUGCAGCCCAACAAAGUUUAUCACCUGGAGUACACGAAAGCAAUCUCCUAAGAGAUCCACUGAAUUCUAGCCGAACAACGGAAUACUUGUGGACUUCUCAGAGAGAUAUCUCCUAUCAAAAAUGAACUACCUGGCAAAAUGGGAUUCUCCACCAUUGCCUAACUCGACCGACUGCCUAUAAAUACUAAGGUAAGCCCCAAACAAAGGAAGGGUUUAAUUAUUUUCACUCCAUACUUUACACUAUUUAUUGCUUGAAAAUCUAACUUAAGCAUCGGAGAGUCCCUGAAUGUUCUUCUAUGCAGAUUGCCUGAGAGACGACUUGGAUUUGGAAUGGAAUAAUUUCUUGCGCCACAACACCCAUGUCUCAAUAGUUAUUGUCUUUGUACUACUAGUGUAUGAUGCCCCUUGUUUUCCAUUGUUAAUUUGUAGCUGCGUCCAGCCUAAAACCUCGAGCUUCAAGAUAGAGAAACCUUUCGCAGAAUUAUACAUCCAAUACCAUACCAAUGUAAGACUAAGACCUCCAUUCUUGGUUACGGAGCCAACAGAAGUAGAAUCAACAAAAGGCAAUUUCGGUCCCAUGCCAUCUAGAGAUCAUGCAGGGAUUCAACAAAAGGCAAUUUCCAUCCCACGUCAUCUAGAUCGGUUUGUCAAGGGGAGGCAAAUAGGCAAUAGCAGUUCAUGGUGCUCUGUCUAUGGUGUUAUCUGCAGGAUACACUAGGCUCGAGGUGGAGAGUGAUGGUAAGGAGACUGUGGAUUACAUUUUGUACAACAGUCUUUUCCCUCAUAUUAGUGUGGCACCAAUUAUCUCUGAUAUACAGACGCUCUCUCUCUCUCUAUCUUCCGUUUUUGUUUCUUUUCCAUAUAUUCCAAGAGCUAACAAUAUUGUUAUCAAUGCCCUGGCUAGAAAGAUCCUGUCAGUCAUGUGUACUAUAGAUUGGUCAGAAUCCAUUUCAUAAAUCUUACAACUUUUUUUGAAGGAUGUUAUUGACCAUAUACAUGUUCCUAAUCAGUAAAUUCCUUUCUUACAAAAAAAAAAAGUAGGAGAAUCAGAAUCCACCAACCGCAUGCUCUAUCAUCUCGUGGUGGCGUUAUGAGCUAAAUUGAGAAUCAGAUCGUUGAAUCGGCCAAUCUAGACGAAAGUCAGAAACGUUGAGGUCGACGGGGCCACUGUGGAGCUAACGUAAAGGUUCAACUGCAACGUCAACACCAAUAAGAGAAGUGAAGUCCAGGUCGAUUGUGAUGGCGAUCAAUGUUGAUCAUAAACGGAUGAGGACAUGACAAUGAGACAAAGGUUAAGGAAUUCAACAUUCAUCCAGAAGAACCAAGACCAUGACCAAUAUCGAAGCAAGAUUCACUCUGAAACCCUAGCUCAAAAAACCCCUCUGAUGCGGUAAAAAUUGACUGGACGAUCUUCCCUGUAAUUCCUAGUGCUUUGGCCGACCUGCACAGAAGAGAUGACAAGGGAGAGCCGGGUUGACCCGAUGGGAGACUCUCCGAUGCCUAAGUCAGAUCUUUCCACAGCAGAUGCUCAAGGGAGCUUUUCCAGUAAAUGAAAGAAGUGAGUAAUCCAUCCCCUAUGAUGGAUGCUUACCUUGGUAUUUAUAGCUUGCUGAUGGAGGGAGAGUGGGAGACGAUUGUGAAGAGUCUUGUUUAGGAGUGGAGUCCUUGAAGGGAGUGGCUCUGUGAUUCUGGGAAUUUUCCGGGUCUUAGGGUAUUCCAGGGGAAUAUUCCUCUCUUAUCUCAGAAAGGCCAACCAUGUAAGGGAUAGACGUCUAUGGUGACGUGUAGUAGAUAGAAUCCUGUUCUUCUGAAUAUGGAUUACCUUCCUUGAAUAUAGGGGUGGAUGAAAGCACGUCUUUGGAAACCUUGUUGUUGACGGAGGGCCAAGGUGGCAGCACGGCAAUGGAGGGCCGAGGUGGCAGCACGACCUAAUGGAGGGCCAAGAUAGUAGCACGGCCUGAUGGCGGACCAAGGUGAUAGCACAGCUUGAUGGAGGGCCGAGGUGGUAGCACGGCCUGAUGGAGGGCCGAAGUGGUAGCAAGGCCUGAUGGCAGCCCGAGGUACAGCAUUGGUCAGGACCGGUCCUUGUCCGUGUUGUGGUUGGAAAGAAAUACUCUCAUCACUCCCAAAUUAUAAUGACUUACUCAACAAGAUGAUAGUACAUUAUAUAUA